Molecule: long non-coding RNA, 1187 nt
Organism: Jaculus jaculus (lesser Egyptian jerboa)
Lineage: Eukaryota; Metazoa; Chordata; Mammalia; Rodentia; Dipodidae
Exons: 4
Source: RefSeq, a predicted model, not a curated record
GAGGUGCAAUGCCUGCGGUGGGAAAAGUUGGGCUUCGGUCUCCCCUCCCUUCCCCCUCCCCCAAAGGUGGUCGCUCGCCUUCCGUGUGGCAAUGGUGGGUUAUGGUGACUUAGGCUCCCUGAGGCCGAGAAGUCACCGAGAGGACGUGGGGCAGCGCUGGGGGGUGGACGGGGACGGGGGAAGGUCGUGCGAGGAGCCCGAGGAAAAGGAGACCGGCCGAGCUUGCUGCCACCUGGAAGAGUCCCGCCAAGCGCUCGGAUUGUCGCGGCCCUCGGGGUCACUAUCAGGUACUGUUAUCAGUAAUAUGUUGGCUCAAAGAUCCAGUGUCUUCAUGUUCUCUCUCAUAUGUGGAUCCUAGCUACAGAUGAUUGGGCUUCUGAGUGAGAAGGAUACUUAGUAGCAGAGGCCAGUCCCACAUAAGCCAGACGCACAAAGUGAGAACGGAGCGCAGUCUGGACUUCGAUUACAAUGGCUGAAGAUCCUGCACCUCUAACCCACCGGACAAUUCACGGCCAGUGGAGGGGCUGAGAACUACAAUCCCCAUGAUGCUAUGCGCCUCUCCGCUAUCACGUGGAUCCUGUGAGGGAAUCAACAAGGGACGGCUGCUCCCACAAUCCUUUGCGGCAGUUCAAUAUGGUGGCGACCAGCGGUACUGCAGCGAUUCGGGCAGCAGCUGGGACAACAGCCUCGAGGAUGAUGCGGAGGAUCUGGCACGGUGGAGUGGAAGGGUGUUCCCUUCGACCCUGCAUCGCCUGUGGUAGAGACCUAAGCUAGAAAAGAACAUAAGUGACUCCAUAUUGUGAAGUUGUACAAGGAAUUUCAGCAUAGUUGGUGCCUCAGGACGCGGUCUCACCUACACUUGCUUGGCUUGCCUCAACACUGGGUCACCACAAGAAAAGAUGGUUUUUCUCGCUGUUGCUAAAUGCACUUUUGUUUUAGUUUCUGUAUUAACUUAUGCUUGCAGUUGCAGGGAGGGAGUGAUUCCGGGAAAGCUCUUCUUUUUAGAACUCAAAAUUAAUUCUUGCUUUCAGAUUGUGAUUACUGAACUUCUGAACUGUAAAACUAAGAUGUGAAAUCUUGUGAUUUUUCUCAUAUAAAAUGAGUUCUGAAGUACACCCUAGCACUGCCUUCAGGCUUCUGAGUCCUGGAUGUAGUCACCCACAGGCCAAUAAAGAUUCCUUUCCUAG